CCUACGGGUGGCAGCAGUGGGGAAUAUUGGACAAUGGGCGAAAGCCUGAUCCAGCCAUGCCGCGUGUGUGAAGAAGGCCUUCGGGUUGUAAAGCACUUUCAGUGGGGAAGAAAGCCUUGGGGCCAAUACCCUCGAGGAAGGACAUCACCCACAGAAGAAGCACCGGCUAACUCCGUGCCAGCAGCCGCGGUAAUACGGAGGGUGCGAGCGUUAAUCGGAAUUACUGGGCGUAAAGCGCGCGUAGGCGGUCUGAUAAGCCGGUUGUGAAAGCCCCGGGCUCAACCUGGGAACGGCAUCCGGAACUGUCAGGCUAGAGUGCAGGAGAGGAAGGUAGAAUUCGCGGUGUAGCGGUGAAAUGCGUAGAGAUCGGGAGGAAUACCAGUGGCGAAGGCGGCCUUCUGGACUGACACUGACGCUGAGGUGCGAAAGCGUGGGUAGCAAACAGGAUUAGAUACCCUAGUAGUC
RNAcentral lists this ribosomal RNA (465 nucleotides) under Vreelandella stevensii. RNAcentral describes it as "partial 16S ribosomal RNA". It matches the Rfam family "Bacterial small subunit ribosomal RNA", at positions 338 to 795 of the family's 1533-position model. Lineage: Bacteria; Pseudomonadati; Pseudomonadota; Gammaproteobacteria; Oceanospirillales; Halomonadaceae. The record is from RNAcentral.